GACGAACGCUGGCGGCGCGCCUAACACAUGCAAGUCGAACGGAGAGCGUGUUUUGAGUUCUUCGGAAGGAAAGAUACGUUUCUUAGUGGCGGACGGGUGAGUAACACGUGAGCAACCUGCCUUGCAGAGAGGGAUAACGAUUGGAAACGAUCACUAAUACCACAUAACAUAUGGAUAUCGCAUGGUGACCAUAUCAAAGAUUUAUCGCUGCAAGAUGGGCUCGCGUCUGAUUAGAUAGUUGGUGAGGUAACGGCUCACCAAGUCGACGAUCAGUAGCCGGACUGAGAGGUUGAACGGCCACAUUGGGACUGAGACACGGCCCAGACUCCUACGGGAGGCAGCAGUGGGGGAUAUUGCACAAUGGGGGAAACCCUGAUGCAGCGACGCCGCGUGAGGGAAGAAGGUUUUCGGAUUGUAAACCUCUGUCUUUGGGGACGAUAAUGACGGUACCCAAGGAGGAAGCUCCGGCUAACUACGUGCCAGCAGCCGCGGUAACAC
Molecule: ribosomal RNA, 498 nt
Filed under: uncultured bacterium
Lineage: Bacteria
Description: bacterial SSU rRNA
Rfam family: Bacterial small subunit ribosomal RNA
Source: RNAcentral